GACGAACGCUGGCGGCGUGCCUAAUACAUGCAAGUCGAACGCUUCUUUCCUCCCGAGUGCUUGCACUCAAUUGGAAAGAGGAGUGGCGGACGGGUGAGUAACACGUGGGUAACCUACCCAUCAGAGGGGGAUAACACUUGGAAACAGGUGCUAAUACCGCAUAACAGUUUAUGCCGCAUGGCAUAAGAGUGAAAGGCGCUUUCGGGUGUCGCUGAUGGAUGGACCCGCAGUGCAUUAGCUAGUUGGUGAGGUAACGGCUCACCAAGGCCACGAUGCAUAGCCGACCUGAGAGGGUGAGCGGCCACACUGGGACUGAGACACGGCCCAGACUCCUACGGGAGGCAGCAGUAGGGAAUCUUCGGCAAUGGACGGGAGUCUGACCGAGCAACGCCGCGUGAGUGAAGAAGGUUUUCGGAUCGUAAAACUCUGUUGUUAGAGAAGAACAAGGACGUUAGUAACUGAACGUCCCCUGACGGUAUCUAACCAGAAAGCCACGGCUAACUACGUGCCAGCCGCCGCCGUAA
This 524-nucleotide ribosomal RNA is filed under the name uncultured bacterium. RNAcentral's name for it is "partial 16S ribosomal RNA". It matches the Rfam family "Bacterial small subunit ribosomal RNA", at positions 28 to 523 of the family's 1533-position model. The record is from RNAcentral.